RNAcentral lists this ribosomal RNA (233 nucleotides) under uncultured bacterium. Its description in RNAcentral is "partial 16S ribosomal RNA". It matches the Rfam family "Bacterial small subunit ribosomal RNA", at positions 794 to 1024 of the family's 1533-position model. The record is from RNAcentral.
UCCCAGCCGUAAACGAUGGGUGCUAGGUGUGGGGAGUUAAAUCUCUCCGUGCCGAAGGUAACCCGUUAAGCACCCCGCCUGGGGAGUACGGGCGCAAGCCUGAAACUCAAAGGAAUUGACGGGGACCCGCACAAGCGGUGGAGCAUGUGGUUUAAUCCGAUGCAACGCGCAGAACCUUACCAGGGUUUGACAUGCUGGCUCAAGCCUGCCCGAAAGGGAGGGGUGGGUACGGC